This is a long non-coding RNA of Magnolia sinica, 1255 nucleotides long. RefSeq lists it as uncharacterized. The record is from RefSeq and is a predicted model, not a curated record. NCBI's taxonomy places the organism in Eukaryota, Viridiplantae, Streptophyta, Magnoliopsida, Magnoliales, Magnoliaceae. The transcript has 5 exons.
CUCUCACCUGCUCCAUCUCUCUCAUUCGCCUCCCUCUCUCUCUGUCCAACGCAUCUCCACCAUCUCUUCUAUCUCCCUCGCGUCAUCAUUUGACUCGGAUCUCCAUUGGAGCAGCCGCCCGAAGGAACCACGCACCAUUCAAAAGCCCCUUUUCAGAUUUUUGUGGCAUUUCUUAAAAUCGAAGCAAUCUAAAGUUCCUCUCUACAGUGAAAAUGAGAAAUCUGGAUUCCUGAAUAUGGUGUCUCAUUAUCUAAGGGCCUAAGCGCAACAAAUUGAAUGAAGUAAGACCCAGCUACUCCGACAUAUGAAGUCAUCGUUCAUUAUGAUAGCUUGGCACCGACUCAUGAAGGUGAUCUCCUGGUUUCAUGUUUCCUGUAUUUAAUUGAAAUGUACACUAGUGGAAACAAAAUCUGGUGAGUAGAAAUGCAAUUUUUAAUUAUCAAUAGAAAAAGGAAAAUCUUUUAGUUCUUUAUUGCAUUAUUCUUCUGAUAUUGAUAAUUUGGUAGAAGUAUUUUUUGAAAUGCUGCGACAGACAAUCAAUGAAAAUGCAGAUCUUUCCGAGACCAAGAAACUUCUUGACAAGCUUCUUGUGCUGAAGCUGAAUGGAGGUUUGGGGCCUACGAUGGGUUGCACUGGUCCUAAGAGGUUCAACAUUGGCUGAUCUUCAACAGGCUCUUAAAGUUUCUUGCCACUUCUGUUGGGAUUAGUAAAAGAUGGAGUCCCAGUAUGUAGGCGGUCAAAAGGCACUGUGCAAAGCUUGAACGUGUAGGAUCUAGGCAGUUGGCUGGUUUGCUUAUAUAUCUGCAGGGCUAAUGAUGAUGCUUUUUGUCAAACUUUAAAAACUUUAAAAUUCACAUAAAACUGAUUGUUCAUUGCAUAUGCAUAUUAUCAGUUGAUGGUUGAUAUACAAUUGUUGUUUGGAAUACAUAUUAUUUCAAUGAAUUGGGGGUGAAGCAAAGGCCUUUUUUGUUGUAGUGACAGAUCACACCGUCCACUAGAGUUGCUCUUCACAACGAUAUAUAGUGAAUUGUGGCUUCUUACUGUUUUUAUAGGGAACAUGCCCCUUCAAUCAUCUUCAUGGAUGAGAUCGACAGUAUUGGAUCUGCUGCUAUGGAAUCAGGGACUGGCAAUGGUUUUGAUGGCUACCAACUGUAUAAAUAUUCUGGAUCAAGCCCUCCUCAGGCCUGACCAGAUUGAUAGGAAGAUUGAAUUCCCAAAUCCCAACGAAGAGGUAUAAGCUACAUUUUGGUUCUUC